CCUUCAUGAAGUCGGAAUUGCUAGUAAUGGCAGGUCAGCAUACUGCCGUGAAUACGUUCCCGGGCCUUGUACACACCGCCCGUCACACCAUGAGAGUUGGAGAUACCCGAAGCCUGUGAACUAACUUUUAGAGGCAGCAGUCGAAGGUAGAAUCAAUGAUUGGGGUGAAGUCGUAACAAGGUAGC
RNAcentral lists this ribosomal RNA (185 nucleotides) under uncultured bacterium. RNAcentral's name for it is "partial 16S ribosomal RNA". It matches the Rfam family "Bacterial small subunit ribosomal RNA", at positions 1315 to 1500 of the family's 1533-position model. The record is from RNAcentral.